GACGAACGCUGGCGGCGUGCUUAACACAUGCAAGUCGAACGGAAAGGCCUUUUCGGAGGUACUCGAGUGGCGGACGGGUGAGUAACGCGUGGGUGAUCUGCCCUGCACUCUGGGAUAAGCCUGGGAAAGUGGGUCUAAUACCGGCUAGGACCGCACUCCAGUUUGUGUGGGGGGAAGGUUUUUUGGUGUAGGAUGGGGCCGCGGCCUAUCAACUUGUUGGUGGGGUAAUGGGCUACCAAGGCGGCGACUGGUAGCCGGACUGGGAGGGUGGGCGGGCACAGUUGGGAUGGGAUUACGGCCAAGCUCCUAAGGGAGGGAGGCGUGGGGAAAAUUGGAAAAUGGGGCGGAGGCUGAUGCAGCGACCGCGCGGGGCGGGUGAAGGCCUUCGGGUUGUAAAAUCCUUUCGCCAGGGACGAAGCGUUUUGUGACGGUACCUGGAGAAGAAGCACCGGCUAACUACGUG
This 463-nucleotide ribosomal RNA is filed under the name uncultured bacterium. RNAcentral describes it as "partial 16S ribosomal RNA". It matches the Rfam family "Bacterial small subunit ribosomal RNA", at positions 28 to 507 of the family's 1533-position model. The record is from RNAcentral.